UCCAAUGGGAAACCAAUGCAGCAAGUAUUUUGGCUUCCAGUUGAUGCCAAUUGGUUUAGUUUGGCAACCCAACUUCAGGUUAGGAGUUGGACUUAGUUUUGCAGCAAUGUCUUAAUGAGACAUUCUGUCUUCCUACAAAGCCAAAAGUUGUAUAUGGAUUGAGAGGCUCUACUGCUGAUAUAUUUGUUGAUAAUGCAGCCUAUAGGAAAUUCCUUUUCAACAAAUUCAACAUCUCAACUGUCGAUGAAGAGAGUUCUGCAGUUGUGAUGACAUCUAUAACAAAUGGAGUGCCUUGUAUAGUGUUCCGCGGUGUAUCAGAUUUGGCAGGGGCCGGAAACAAACUGGAAUCAACAAGCUCGAGUUCUUUAGCUGCUCUUAAUGCUCUUGCCGUUGCAGUUGAAUUUAUCUGCUUAGUUGGGCAGCAGCCAAAUCUCAGGCACGAUGACUAGAACUCACUACUCAGCAUCAUUUAUGAUCCCAACAAUUCAUCACAUUCUGUUGGAAGAUCUUAUUUGUUCAAUCUUAUCUUCCUCCCCUGUGUGUCAUUGGUAAGCAAAGGAGAAUAUCCGAAGGGAAAUUGGAUUCUUUUGAUUGAUGAUGGAAUAAACUCACUAAACAAUUGAUUAUUAAGAAAUGAUCUUCUUGGGGGCAUGUGAGUAUUGGGCUUAGAGAAUGGAAGUUGUUAAGAACUUGGUCACAAGCAUAUUUUAUUUUCAAAAUGAUCACGAACCUGAGUGGAAAACUCAUGAACUAAGCAAAUUUAUGCUUUCAUUUUUCUUAA
Molecule: RNA transcript, 781 nt
Organism: Olea europaea var. sylvestris
Lineage: Eukaryota; Viridiplantae; Streptophyta; Magnoliopsida; Lamiales; Oleaceae
Gene name: bark storage protein A-like
Exons: 3
Source: RefSeq, a predicted model, not a curated record